This 201-nucleotide long non-coding RNA is filed under the name Ananas comosus (pineapple). RNAcentral's name for it is "long non-coding RNA (ACOM_LNC035088)". Lineage: Eukaryota; Viridiplantae; Streptophyta; Magnoliopsida; Poales; Bromeliaceae. The record is from RNAcentral.
AGACUCCGGUAUAGCCUAUCACCUUGUCUUUCAGACCCUUGCUCAGCCGAGACUCAUCACACAUUUUCAGCCGGUGAACUAGCUCUGAUACCAAAUGUAACGACCCAGCCCACUAGCAACAAUAAUUCGUUGGGCCCAACCACCGGCCCAAAAUGCUUAAGCCCAGUUAUUAUUACUAGUGUCUAAGUCUUUUAUAUACCC